CGCUUCACUCCUACGGGAGGCAGCAGUGGGGAAUAUUGCACAAUGGGGGAAACCCUGAUGCAGCCAUGCCGCGUGUGUGAAGAAGGCCUUCGGGUUGUAAAGCACUUUCAGUAGGGAGGAAGGUAGUGUAGUUAACACCUGCAUUAUUUGACGUUACCUACAGAAGAAGCACCGGCUAACUCCGUGCCAGCAGCCGCGGUAAUACGGAGGGUGCGAGCGUUAAUCGGAAUUACUGGGCGUAAAGCGCAUGCAGGUGGUUUGUUAAGUCAGAUGUGAAAGCCCGGGGCUCAACCUCGGAAUUGCAUUUGAAACUGGCAGACUAGAGUACUGUAGAGGGGGUAGAAUUUCAGGUGUAGCGGUGAAAUGCGUAGAGAUCUGAAGGAAUACCGGUGGCGAAGGCGGCCCCCUGGACAGAUACUGACACUCAGAUGCGAAAGCGUGGGGAGCAAACAGGAUUAGAUACCCUGGUAG
Molecule: ribosomal RNA, 471 nt
Filed under: uncultured bacterium
Lineage: Bacteria
Description: bacterial SSU rRNA
Rfam family: Bacterial small subunit ribosomal RNA
Source: RNAcentral